CAGCCGCCACGGGAAUACGAAGGGGGCUAGCGUUGUUCGGAAUCACUGGGCGUAAAGGGUGCGUAGGCGGGAUCUUAAGUCAGGGGUGAAAUCCCGAGGCUCAACCUCGGAACUGCCUUUGAUGCUGGCGAUCUUGAGUCCGAGAGAGGUGAGUGGAACUGCGAGUGUAGAGGUGAAAUUCGUAGAUAUUCACAAGAACACCGGUGGCGAAGGCGGCUCACUGGCCCGGUACUGACACUGAGAGACGAAAGCUAGGGGAGCAAAUGGGAUUAGAUACCCCUGUAGUCCCUGUCUCUUAUAC
RNAcentral lists this ribosomal RNA (301 nucleotides) under uncultured bacterium. Its description in RNAcentral is "partial 16S ribosomal RNA". It matches the Rfam family "Bacterial small subunit ribosomal RNA", at positions 509 to 807 of the family's 1533-position model. The record is from RNAcentral.